UUUAACAUGAGAGUUUGAUCCUGGCUCAGGAUGAACGCUGGCGGCGUGCCUAACACAUGCAAGUCGAACGGAAUUUACAUGAAGCCUAGCGAUUGUAAAUUUAGUGGCGGACGGGUGAGUAACGCGUGGGUAACCUGCCUUGUACUGGGGGACAACAGUUGGAAACGACUGCUAAUACCGCAUAAGCGCACAGCUUCGCAUGAAGCAGU
This 209-nucleotide ribosomal RNA is filed under the name Firmicutes bacterium AM59-13. Its description in RNAcentral is "partial 16S ribosomal RNA". It matches the Rfam family "Bacterial small subunit ribosomal RNA", at positions 1 to 199 of the family's 1533-position model. Lineage: Bacteria; Bacillati; Bacillota. The record is from RNAcentral.